Molecule: ribosomal RNA, 375 nt
Filed under: uncultured bacterium
Lineage: Bacteria
Description: bacterial SSU rRNA
Rfam family: Bacterial small subunit ribosomal RNA
Source: RNAcentral
UAAUACGUAGGCAGCAAGCGUUGUUCGGAGUUACUGGGCGUAAAGAGUGCGUAGGCGGUGCCCCAAGUCUGUUGUGAAAUCUCCCGGCUUAACUGGGAGGGUGCGGUGGAAACUGGGGUGCUUGAGUGUGGGAGAGGUAAGCGGAAUUCCUGGUGUAGCGGUGAAAUGCGUAGAUAUCAGGAGGAACACCGGUGGUGUAGACGGCUUACUGGACCACGACUGACGCUGAGGCACGAAAGCGUGGGUAGCAAACAGGAUUAGAUACCCUGGUAGUCCACGCCCUAAACGAUGCAUACUUGGUGUGAGCCAUUCAUUUGGUUCGUGCCGGAGCUAACGCGUUAAGUAUGCCGCCUGGGGAGUACGGUCGCAAGGCUG